AAAGUCGUAACAAGGUCUCCGUUGGUGAACCAGCGGAGGGAUCAUUACAGAGUUGCAAAACUCCCUAAACCAUUGUGAACCUUACCCAAACCGUUGCUUCGGCGGGCGGCGCACCGCGCCCCCCGGCCCCUCGCGGGCGCCCGCCGGAGGUACCCCAAACCAUUGAUACUUUAUGGCCUCUCUGAGUCUUCUGUACUGAAUAAGUCAAAACUUUCAACAACGGAUCUCUUGGUUCUG
Molecule: unclassified non-coding RNA, 237 nt
Filed under: Ascomycota sp.
Lineage: Eukaryota; Fungi; Ascomycota
Description: partial contains small subunit ribosomal RNA, internal transcribed spacer 1, and 5.8S ribosomal RNA
Rfam family: Eukaryotic small subunit ribosomal RNA (bases 1-47)
Source: RNAcentral